UACGAAGGGGGCUAGCGUUGUUCGGAAUCACUGGGCGUAAAGCGCAUGCAGGCGGGUCGUUAAGUUAGGGGUGAAAUCCCGAGGCUCAACCUCGGAACUGCCUCUGAUACUGGCGAUCUUGAGUCCGGGAGAGGUGAGUGGAACUGCGAGUGUAGAGGUGAAAUUCGUAGAUAUUGGGAAGAACACCGGUGGCGAAGGCGGCUCACUGGCCCGUUUCUGACGCUCAUGCACGACAGCGUGGGGAUCAAACAGG
Molecule: ribosomal RNA, 253 nt
Filed under: uncultured bacterium
Lineage: Bacteria
Description: partial 16S ribosomal RNA
Rfam family: Bacterial small subunit ribosomal RNA
Source: RNAcentral